GUGAGGUAGAAAGUCCCAUGCCUCACUAGAACCAGGGAGACAGAUGAGGAACUACCUUGUGGCCGCUCCUCCCGAGAAGGGCUAUCUUGCCAUGUCUCUGGGAUGGCCAUGGUGGAAUGGGGCCUAUGCAGAGACCUGCAAGGUCACCAGGGUGCCUUUCCCUACAGUACCUAGAGUGUUGUGUUUCUGUUGACAGUAUGAAAGUCAGUCAGCCUCUUGCCCAGGUUUUCACAGUGGCCUCCUUCCUUAGCUCUUUCCCGUAAAGACUCCUCCUUGCUUCCUGCGCAGUACCUUCUGCUUCCUCUGAAACCUUUACUCCCCUGUUGGUCCCUGUACUUCCUAUUUUGUGUCGCUACUCAUCUCUCCAUGUCUUUGUAACUGACACCAGAUAAAGAAUCUCUUGAGGACAAGUCUUGAAUUUAUACCUCUUUGUAAUCACCACAUGUACAUAUUAGAUAUUCGAUAAACAUUUGUUGAUUGGUCGAGAGAAAAGGAAUCAUUCAUUUAAACCUGAGCACAGAGUCCUUUUGGGGUUAAGUCUUCGUCAAAUCUCUUACUGAUGCUUGUUUUACUUAUUUGGCUGCAAAUCUCGUGAACAGUAGAUGAUCAUAGCCUUUUUCUGAAAGACAAGUACAGUGUCUCAGAGAAACCAACUCAAAACAUGCCGUGCAUCCGGUUUCUUGUGGCCUGUAUGAGUAGGUCGCUGUGACUGCAGUCUUGUUUGAAGGGGUUAAUGACCUCAGAAAGAGAGGCAACCUCAAUCACAUUUGUACUACUACAGACCUAAGAACCUCAGUGUCCCGCCUGAACCUGUACAAACUUGAAAAAGAGUCAUAGACCUACUCGCUAUUUUUUUAUGUAGUACCAUCUUUGAAAAUCUGCCAGUUCUCCCACUAGUUUACUGUAAAGACAACGCACCAUUUUAGGAUGAAAUUUCCCUAAAGGUCAUGGAAAUAACAUGUCCGCUGAACUUAAAGCAAAUAUGAAAAUCUAUUCAGACAGAAAAUAAUCAGGUUUUGUGAACUGGAAGCAACAGUUUAUCACUCAAGAGUAGCUUGCAAUUAAAAUGUCUGUUUUUUUAAUCUCUGUUCAUUCAUUCAUUCGCAAAAAAAUUUUUUUAGCACCUAUGAAAGCCAAGCAGUCAACAUGGAAUCUACAAUUCCCAGUGAGUCAACGGACUGUGGGGGACUGUGGAAUUCUGGAAGGGGCUCAGGAGGCCACCUGGAUGAUAUUACCUGUUCUGGCCAUUAAGAAUAAAGCUGCUAUGAACAUGGAUGGACAAAGCUCUGUGUGGACUUCUGUGUUUAUUUGUAUUUGGUAAACACCAAGGAGUGGGAUUACUGGGUCGUAAGCAAGUGAAUAUUUAAUUUUAUAAGAAACAACUGAAGUAUUUUCUGAAGUGGCUGUACCAUUUGGCAUUCCCACCAGAAAUAUGAGAUUUCUAGUUGCUCCAUAUCUUUGCCAGUAUUUGAUAUGAUCCAUUCUGUUGUUUAUUUGUGCUGUUUUGUUUUAAUUUUAGCCAUCCUAAUAGGUGGAUAGUGGCAUCUGACCAUGGUUUUACUUUGUGUUUCUCUGGUGACUAAUGAUAUAAAGUAUUUUUCAUGUGCUCAUUUGUCAUCUGUAUCUUUUCUUUGUUGAAGUGUUUGUUCAAAUCUUUUGUCUAUUUCCAAAAAUUGG
This is a long non-coding RNA of Equus caballus (horse), 1677 nucleotides long. The record is from Ensembl. Lineage: Eukaryota; Metazoa; Chordata; Mammalia; Perissodactyla; Equidae.